This 285-nucleotide signal recognition particle RNA is filed under the name Microcebus murinus (gray mouse lemur). RNAcentral's name for it is "Metazoan signal recognition particle RNA (ENSMICG00000028030.2)". It matches the Rfam family "Metazoan signal recognition particle RNA". Rfam says of the family: The signal recognition particle (SRP) is a universally conserved ribonucleoprotein. It is involved in the co-translational targeting of proteins to membranes. The record is from Rfam by way of RNAcentral. Lineage: Eukaryota; Metazoa; Chordata; Mammalia; Primates; Cheirogaleidae.
CCCUGUAGUCUCAGCUACUGGAGAGGGUGAGGCAGCACUGCUUGAUGCUUGAGCCCAGGAGUUCUGGACUGUAGUGUACUGUGUCCAUCAAGUGUCAACAGUAAGUUUGGCAUAAACACAGUAACCUUCCAGGAGCAGGGGAACAGAUAGUUGCCUAAGGAAGGGUGAACUGGCCCAAGUCAGAAAUGGAGCAGGUCAAAACUCCUAUGCUGAUCAGUAGUGGGAUCAUGUCUGUAAGUAGCUACUGCAAUCUAACCUAGACACCAGAGCAAGACCCCACAUCGU